AACGAACGCUGGCGGCAUGCCUAACACAUGCAAGUCGAACGAGAAACUUUUCUUCGGAAGAGUGGACAGUGGCGAACGGGUGAGUAACGCGUAGAUAAUCUACCCCGGAGUCUGGGAUAACCUCGUGAAAGCGAAGCUAAUACCGGAUAACAAUGGAGUUCUAGUGGUCUUUAUUUGAAAGGUCCGCCGCUCCGGGACGAGUCUGCGUUCCAUUAGCUUGUUGGUGGGGUAAUGGCCUACCAAGGCGACGAUGGAUAGCGGGUCUGAGAGGAUGAUCCGCCACACUGGCACUGAGACACGGGCCAG
Molecule: ribosomal RNA, 306 nt
Filed under: uncultured bacterium
Lineage: Bacteria
Description: bacterial SSU rRNA
Rfam family: Bacterial small subunit ribosomal RNA
Source: RNAcentral